This 460-nucleotide ribosomal RNA is filed under the name uncultured bacterium. RNAcentral describes it as "partial 16S ribosomal RNA". It matches the Rfam family "Bacterial small subunit ribosomal RNA", at positions 338 to 795 of the family's 1533-position model. The record is from RNAcentral.
GCUACGGGUGGCAGCAGUGAGGAAUAUUGGUCAAUGGACGAGAGUCUGAACCAGCCAAGUAGCGUGAAGGAUGACUGCCCUAUGGGUUGUAAACUUCUUUUAUAAAGGAAUAAAACGCGGCACGUGUGCCUUUUUGCAUGUACUUUAUGAAUAAGGAUCGGCUAACUCCGUGCCAGCAGCCGCGGUAAUACGGAGGAUCCGAGCGUUAUCCGGAUUUAUUGGGUUUAAAGGGGGCGUAGAUGGGGUGUUAAGUCAGUUGGGAAACUUUGCGGCUCAACCGUAGAAGUGCAUUUGAUACUGGCAGUCUUGAGUACAGGUGAGGUAGGCGGAAUUCGUGGUGUAGCGGUGAAAUGCUUAGAUAUCGCGAAGAACCCCGAUUGCGAAGGCAGCUUACUAAAGUGUGACUGACAUUGAUGCACGAAAGUGUGGGUAUCGAACAGGAUUAGAUACCCGAGUAGUC